AUCUAAUCCUAGUUUAUAGGAUUAGAUACCCUAUUAUUAUAGAUUUAAAUUUAAAAUUUUAAGGAUUAAUAGUUAAGUUCUUUAAACUUAAAAAAAUUGGCGGUAUUUAAAACUAAUUAGGGGAAUUUGUUUUUUAAUCGAUGAUCCUCGUGAUACCUUACUUUAAUUAAUUAAUUAGUUUAUUUCCGUUAUCAAAUAACUUUUAUAGAAAAAUAUUAUAGUUGUUGAAACAUUUUAUUAUUUAAUAGAAUAUUAUUUCAGGUCAAGAUGCAGUUUAUAUUAAAGUUAAAAUGAAUUACAAUAAUUUAUAAUUAUUAUGGAUAUUAAAUUGAAAUAUUUAAUUGAAGGUGGACUUAAUAGUAAAGUAAAAAAUUAUAUUUAUUUGAAUUUAGACUUAAAUAUGUACAAAUCGCCCGUCGCUUUCACUUCAAGGUGAAAUAAGUCGUAACAAAGUAGGUGUAUUGGAAAAUGUACCUAGAAAGUUUUUAUUAUA
This 493-nucleotide ribosomal RNA is filed under the name Corynis lateralis. Its description in RNAcentral is "partial 12S ribosomal RNA". Lineage: Eukaryota; Metazoa; Arthropoda; Insecta; Hymenoptera; Cimbicidae. The record is from RNAcentral.